UCUUCCUCAAAAAAAAAAAAAACUUCCAUAUACAAUAUUUGCCAGUAUAUAAAAUUGCAAACAUAUACGAUAGUUUUCAUUUUACCCAAAAAAUUAUGUUGUGGUUUUCUUUAAAGAAAAAGAUAAUUACUUCAUAAUUAUGGAUUGAAAAUUAUUUUAAUUUGGUCUUGAAGAGGAAGCUGCUGUUUUGUUCAUUAUCAAUGGUAUAUAUUGAAACUACCAUUUUAAAAUUGGGUUACAAAUGGACAUCGGCUAAGCCCACGACUUUGAAGUCUCAGCAGAAAUGUACUUAACGCUCCUUUUCUCCUUCAGUCUGGCCACAGUGAACAUUUGCAGACCAUUUUCAGGACUACCAGAAUGCAGGGGAUAUAAGGAGGGCUGGAUGGAAAUGUGUCAACCUUCUGGGAAAGGCUGAAUGACAGUGACUUCCCAGAUUAAUAGAAUAGUAACAUUAAUUGGCAAAUACAAACACAUUCAACCUUAUGAAUAUAACUUUAAGCCAGACUGUUCUCAUCACCAACAUUUUUAGGCAGAAUCGUAUAUGUUGUUUCUCUAUUUGUGUGUUUUACAAAUGAAGAGGGACAAUAGUCACUUUUACAUUUCCUCUGUCACCUGAAAAUCAUGAUGGUCUGAAUUCAGUGGUUAAAAUAGACUAUUUUGUGUAAUUAAGGCUGCUAAAUAAUCCAAAUGACAAUCGACUCCUUAAAAGACCUUAAAACUAUUGAAUAACGGUGUGAUAAAGAGCUUUGAAAGGCUAGGAAAGAAGACGGACAAUGGCAGAGGUGGGCCUAGCAACAGCCAGGCUUUUAGAUGCCCCUCACUUCCUUUUUCCAUGUUAGAUGACUGAACAGCCCUCAUUUCUGUAAGUGUGACAGCACUUUUCUUAGGCCUGAAUUGGAUGUAGUUAUUUUAAGAGUAUCUAAAAGACAUAGUAGUAAGAGUAAGGAUUUAAUUUUAACAGCUCCACCACAACGAUAUACACAAUACCUUACGUUUUAAAAGGGCUUACCGUACUCAAAAAAAAAAAGAAAGAAAGAAACACGUGAGUGUUGUGUGCACAGUGGUUUACACAGAAUGAUUAUCAUUUGCUCUCGGGAAAUAAACUCCCUCUUGGCCUUAAAUUCCUAUAUUUCUUCACAGAGUUGAAAUGACAGUUAAAGGCAUUCAGAAAUUUAAAGUAACUGAUUUAACAACCUCGGACAAAGAGAACAUGUCUAAAAGUUUGUUUCAGUGUUUGACUUGACCUAAGAGAGUUUUCCUGAGACUUAUUUUCUAAACAGUACCCUAGCACCUUGGGCCAGCAAAAUGGCCUUUAAGCUUGAAUGAACAAGGUAUUUCUUUCCUCUAUUGUAAAGCUUCACUAUUUCAUCUUUUCAAACUCUUUUACUGCACUCAGUGAGGAAUUAUAUUGACAAGGGUAGAAUUUAUCUCCUAGAGGAGAAUGCUAUGCUUCUGUUAAGUGCUAAUAUAACAUUUAUGUGCUGGUACCUUAAUAACAGCCCCAGCUUACCUAAUGAAAGUUGAAAGCAAACAGUACUCUCUGAGAUUUUAUUAUGACUGAAGUGACUGCAAUUUGAGGCAAAUUAUCCCUAUUUUUGUUCCCAUAUCAAAAACAGAGAUGCUAAAGCAAUUGCUGCAUGUUUGGUAUGGAAUUAGGUUCCACUCUCAUUAAUCUACACGGAAGAGCAUUUUUCAUGUAAACAGCUCACGAGGGUCAGAGAGAAGAGCUGUUUCUGUGAAAAAUGCUUGUCAAUAACUUUGUGAGUGAAUUUUGAAAUAAAGUGCCUGUAACCUGUCAUUAUUCCUUCCUCUCAAAGUCAAGAGUGAGUGGCUGAAAAUUGAGCACGUGAAUUGAAAGCAGGGUGAGUGUUAUGGCCUUAUCGACUUCAGGUAAAAUGACUGUUUUAACUUGUUAUUAUUUUUCCAUUCAGAGGUCAGGCAAUGUACAGUAUUACCAGCAUGGACUGCAGUGUAAGCAAAUUGGUAUACAAAAAGGCUAUUACCCACACUCACAAAGAAGAGGAAAGUAUAAGUCACUAAUACCAAGAGGACUUGUGAUCGCUACAAAAGCGAAACAACCAACAAUGCUUUGGAAAAGAAUAGUGUGGAUGUGUAGAUAUAAAGCACCUAGGAGGCAGAAAAAAUAAACCUGUUUAUAUAAGGAUGCACAUGUUUAGAAGGCAGGUAAGAAAAUUUUAGUGAACAUUUUUUUUAAAUCACCUAUUAAUCAUACUUCAUUUGCAAAGGAAUUACGAGAUCUGAAUACUGAAUGUUAGACACCCAAACUCUACAUGUCACCUUAACAUUUCUUCCUACCUCAGAUCAUCUUAAGAGUAAUUAACUGUUGAAUUUUCAAGUCCAUCUGAUAGAUUCUUAUCAAAAGCAAAAUACUGCUGUGGUCUUCCUGUUCCCUAGAGAAAAAGAAAAUCAGUGAGACUUCAAAACAUCAAAAAACCCUUUCCUUGUCUUUGAGAUAUUUUUUUCCAAUUCUGAAGAACAGCUUAAGAAUUUAAUGUGGCUGUUUUAGAUUUGCAAGAAAAAUAUCUUGUCUCUAAGUAAUCUCAGGUCCAUAGAAAGUGUAUAUGUAAUACUAUUAUUCAAAUACUUUUAUUUUUCCUUUUAGAAGACCAUCUAGUGGUGUGUCUUUGAUACUGAUUUUUCCAUUAUAGACUGUGUUGAUCAGAAAAUGAGCAGAUUGGACUAGAAAUCAAAAGAGGUUAUAUAAGGACUAGAUAACAGUGAUUGAAAGCAAGUUUAAGGGGAGAGAAGGGUACAUAUAAUUUUGAAGACAUGUUCAUAUGUUUAUUCACCAAAUUUCCACAUAAUGUAAAAGGUUUGGGUUCUCUUACUUCUAAACAAGUUUUCCUGGCUUCAAAGUAAUUAUAACGGCCUAAGAUUAAAAGAAAUACAUUGGCAUUUCUUUGCUCUGCAUUUGAUAGUUUAUUCAUUUCUUUAAACAAAUAUUUACUGGUUGGACACUGUGCCAAUCAUGAUAAUACAGUAACUUCAGGAGAAGUUACCUUUAUCUAGUGAAGAAGAGAGGAAAAUAGUAAGGUAAGUUGCCAUGAUGCUACGAGAAGAAUGCAGUCUCCAUGGAGGUAAGGAUCUUUAUCUGCUUCUGUUCUGUUCAGGGAAAUAUCCCAACCUGGCAUACAGCAGACACCAGACAGAUAUUUGUUGAAUGCUGAAUGGACAUGAUUGGGGCGUGUACAGUGCAUUUAAGAGACUAUGAGAGAGUCAGAGAAGACUUUCUCAGUGAAACGUAGGUCUAACCUCCAGGAAUGUUGACAUGAUUAAACCAAGCAGAGUUGGAACAGCAUCUUCUGUAUCAAGGGAGCAGAGAAUUCCAAAACUGAAGUUAGAGAGACCAGAGAGUUGGAUGAAUUGCUGUUAAUUCUUCUUGGCUCCAGCAAUGAGUGAGGGGUGGGGCACGCAGAGUUGGUUGAAGUAAAUAGAGGCCAGACCUAAAAGACCAUGUAAGCCAAGCCAUGAAGUUUGAGCAUUAGAUCAAAAGCUAUUGAAUGAUAUUAAGCAUGCAGGGCUUAAAAAAAAGGGAGUGGGGGACCGACAUAUCUUAGAAAAAGACUACGCUGACUGGAAUAUAGCAAAUGGAUUGAAGAAGACUGGAAUUGAGGUGCCCAGUUGGAAAGCUUUACAGAAAUCCAAGCAACAUAUAAAUGACAGUGGCCUAAAUUAAGGUAGAAGUAAAGGGACAGAAAGAAAUAGGUAUAUUGAAGUGAUAUUAAGGAGUUAGAAAUGACAAGACUUGGUGGCUGCUUGGAUGAGGUGGGGAGAAGUUGGUAAGGAAGAUGGAAGAGACAAGGACAAGACUUAGUUCUCCAGCCUUGGACAACUGAGUGGAUGGAUGACAUUUCCCAAGUUGAGGAAGGAAUGUUUGGUAGGGAAGGUGGCCAGUUUACUUUUAGAUGGGCUGAGUUGUUUAAAGCGUCAUGUUGUUAUAGCCCAGGUUUCCAUACUGGUCCCCUUCUUCCUAUACUCACAGACUAGAUUUUCAUGAAUCCAUUACAAAUGGAUGAAACAAAUCUAGGUACCUACUAUGGUAGUUAUGGGCAUACUUUUCUUACAUACAAUACAAAUUGCAUUCUUCAACAUAAAAACAUUCUUCUUCCUUCAUAAAAGUCUUUCUGAAAUGCAGAGGUAUACAAGAGUAAACUGUUUCUAAGAGCUAAGUUAUUGUAAUUAUCCUGAAUUGUGACUAGUCAAUGGAGAGCAGGACGCCACAAAGUGACUACAAAUCAUGUGCUGUACCCUUUAGGAGUUAAUUGUGAGUAAUUAUGAGGUAAAUAAACUUCAAUAUUUUUGCAUUUCAGUUGUGUGACAUGUAAGGACUAGAGUAAUGAGUUGAAUUGAAUAUAUCUGCCCACAUAUGUUUAUAAUGUAAUUUUAAAAUUUUUUAGAUCUCUUGGUUUUUACCGAAGACAUUAAACUAGAGAUACAAAACCUAUUCAAAGUGAAAACAUAAAUAAUAGGACUCCUACUUUAUAUAGGAAGAACGUGCCAAUGACCUGGUGGUAGAGAGAGUUCCCCAUCUCUCCAGAGAUGCUGCGAUUGAGUGGUACAUCACUGCAGUGGCAGAUGAACCAUUCAGCAGGAGGCAUUUGGCUUUGAAGAAGAUAUCCGAGGGUUUUCAAAUCGAAUGUGGAGCUGUGGCAUCCAGUUCUACUUCCAGCGCGUCUAUCUCCAUUUCUCUAAAAUGGGCCUCACCUUCUAUUUCUUCACCUGAUUUAAACAGGACUCUAGAAGUCCUGAUGACCAGGUUUGUACAAGCAAGGCGAAGACUCUCUGAAGACAACCAAGUUGCGCCAUUGUGUUUUAGGAUAUUCUAUAUAAAAGACAGCAUUAAUGCUGAAGUCCUGCAAGCAGGUAAGGGAACCAUUAGAAAAGUGAGGGGAAAGCACAGACUGUGGAAUCAUAUCAUAUAUGCUUGUCAAAGAGAGAGAGAGAAUAACAUAAGCAGCAUAGGAGAUUUUUGCCCCCAGCCCAGUUAGUGAGAGUGAACAUGAGAUGGGAGAUGUGAAUGUACUGUUCCCUCUGUUGAUCUCAGUUCUCUUAGCCUUUUGUAUGAACCUCUCAUUCUCCUACACAUGAUUCCAGUGUUUAAAGAAAUGUAUUUUUCCUACUAUAUAACCCUCUUUAUUAUAUUCCAAACCAUGUUGUACGCAAUAUACAUUUUUACAUACGUAUUAAUGAAUAGGUUUGUGUACAAAGUACCAAAAAUACUAUACUUUAGAGAUGACUUGUAGGGUUUAGACCAACCCAGUGUAAUUCUGACUUCACGGCACAUAAGCGAGAGCCAAAAUCUCAUCCCCAAAAGCAGCUCUGACACAAAAGGGAGCUUCACUAUUCAUGUUCCAAACGCAUUUUACUAAAAGGGCUUUGAUUCAUCUUCUAAGAGACAGAAACAGGCCAGUGUGCACUAGGCAUAUUUCUCCGUGUGGCUGGCUACCAAAGCAAGAGGUUUGAACCAAUAGGCACACUUCAUUCUCAUCAAACAAGUCAUGCUCAGGAGUCAGAACUUUCAGCCUACCAACUGGUUCGUUUCCAAUUUGAAUAGCAGCGGGACGUUCUCACUCCUUCACAGGCUGAUGCGAGUUUUGAUUUUCAUUGGACCAGCCUCAUGUAAAUAGGAUUCACUGACUGAAUUUGUUUCAGAACGAUCAAUCCCGAUUUGAUGUACUAUUCCUUUAUCACAUUAGCCUAAAUUGCCUGUAAAGCCCCUCUGUGGGUUUUAAAAUGUUCUUGUACCUCAGGCCUUACUAUAGGUGCAUUUGAAUGCAAUAUUUGCAGAUUGAAUUGUACUUUGGACAUUUUAUGGAAGUUAGCUUUUAAAAUGCAUUAUUUCCCAUAUUGGAUAUUUCUAAAGUAAAGUGAAUACCUAUUUGCUCAUUCAUCUUUUGUUUAAA
Long non-coding RNA from Equus caballus (horse), 5924 nucleotides. RefSeq lists it as uncharacterized. Lineage: Eukaryota; Metazoa; Chordata; Mammalia; Perissodactyla; Equidae. The record is from RefSeq and is a predicted model, not a curated record.